This 301-nucleotide ribosomal RNA is filed under the name uncultured bacterium. RNAcentral's name for it is "partial 16S ribosomal RNA". It matches the Rfam family "Bacterial small subunit ribosomal RNA", at positions 509 to 807 of the family's 1533-position model. The record is from RNAcentral.
CAGUCGCCGCGGUAAAACGGAGGGUGCAAGCGUUAAUCGGAAUUACUGGGCGUAAAGGGCUCGUAGGCGGUUUGUUGCGUCGGGAGUGAAAACCCAGGGCUUAACUUUGGGCUUGCUUUCGAUACGGGCAGACUUGAGGCAUUGAGGGGAGAACGGAAUUCCUGGUGUAGCGGUGAAAUGCGCAGAUAUCAGGAGGAACACCGGUGGCGAAGGCGGUUCUCUGGCAAUGUUCUGACGCUGGGGAGCGAAAGUGUGGGGAGCGAACAGGAUUAGAUACCCCAGUAGUCCCUGUCUCUUAUAC